AUGGGGAAUUCAAAAAGCACGGUUGGCGAACAUCAACCUGAAGAUGACGUAACUACAGGUCUUACACGCGGGAGAAGUGAUGCAGAACACAAUGCGAGCAUCAUACCCGUAGCUGAAAUUGUUGAUAACGUCUACUCGACGGAAUCAGUCCUUACGGGCGGGAUAAAUGUUGGAGACUACAAUGCAAACUUCAUACCCUUACAUGCAGGGCAGGAACCUUCAAACGACGGGAUUUCGUCGUAUUCUGAGAAUAAUAAGGAUGGUACGACUAAGCUACGAGAUGAUACUCAAGAUGACAAAACUUCCGAGCAGCACGCAACAGUAGCUGUAUUUAAUGAAGAAAAAAAAUGUUGGCGAAACAAGGGAGCAGUUCAACGCACAGAGGUGUGA
Molecule: ribosomal RNA, 390 nt
Filed under: Triticum aestivum (bread wheat)
Lineage: Eukaryota; Viridiplantae; Streptophyta; Magnoliopsida; Poales; Poaceae
Description: partial small subunit ribosomal RNA
Source: RNAcentral